Molecule: long non-coding RNA, 460 nt
Filed under: Mytilus galloprovincialis (Mediterranean mussel)
Lineage: Eukaryota; Metazoa; Mollusca; Bivalvia; Mytilida; Mytilidae
Source: RNAcentral
UGGGUCAUGUUGAUAGGCUGGAGCAUUGAUAGAUCUGACUGAGAGAAAAAAAGGAAAAACUCAUUUGUUUUACAACGUGUAAAAUUCAUUUGAAUUUGAAAUACCGCAAACAAAGUUCGAUGCUCUGCUGCUACCUUUAAUUAUGAUCUUUGUAGAUUCAACAUUAUAUUUUAUCAAUUAAGCCGCUGUGGUGCUAAUUUUGAAAAUUAGCAUCAUCCGUGUGAACGUCCAUUUAAACUAGAGCUAUAAACCUGGGGGAUUGUCUAUUUACUCUGGGACAUAGUAUAAAAGUCCAAGAUUUACUCAGGGACAAAUCGAAAAUGUCGUUAAACACAGUUUAGAGUUGUUAAGGUAUCGGAAAUAUAUCAUAUUGUUUAGACAGUAUAAAAAAGGCCACACGCACAUCGUUAUGUAAGUAAAGUUUUGUUUUCUAUUUCUAUUUUUUGUUGUUGACAAAUUG